The sequence is a transfer RNA, 73 nucleotides long. It matches the Rfam family "tRNA". From Rfam's summary of the family: Transfer RNA (tRNA) molecules are approximately 80 nucleotides in length. Their secondary structure includes four short double-helical elements and three loops (D, anti-codon, and T loops). The record is from Rfam.
GCCGCUUUAGCUCAGCAGGUAGAGCAUCACCAUGGUAAGGUGGGGGUCGCCGGUUCAAAUCCGGCAAGCGGCU